This 506-nucleotide ribosomal RNA is filed under the name fungal sp. E15830C. RNAcentral describes it as "eukaryotic LSU rRNA". The stretch from base 155 to 308 matches the Rfam family "5.8S ribosomal RNA". The record is from RNAcentral. Lineage: Eukaryota; Fungi.
AGGUUUCGGGGUUUAAACUUCCCUCCCCCUGUUGAACAUACCAAUUGUUGCCUCGGCGGAUCAGCCCGCUCCCGGUAAAACGGGACAGCCCGCCAGAGGACCCCUAAACUCUGUUUCUAUAUGUAACUUCUGAGUAAAACCAUAAAUAAAUCAAAACUUUCAACAACGGAUCUCUUGGUUCUGGCAUCGAUGAAGAACGCAGCAAAAUGCGAUAAGUAAUGUGAAUUGCAGAAUUCAGUGAAUCAUCGAAUCUUUGAACGCACAUUGCGCCCGCCAGUAUUCUGGCGGGCAUGCCUGUUCGAGCGUCAUUUCAACCCUCAAGCCCCCGGGUUUGGUGUUGGGGAUCGGCGAGCCCUUGCGGCAAGCCGGCCCCGAAAUCUAGUGGCGGUCUCGCUGCAGCUUCCAUUGCGUAGUAGUAAAACCCUCGCAACUGGUACGCGGCGCGGCCAAGCCGUUAAACCCCCAACUUCUGAAUGUUGACCUCGGAUCAGGUAGGAAUACCCGCU